UACAGAGGGUGCGAGCGUUAAUCGGAAUUACUGGGCGUAAAGCGUACGUAGGUGGUUGGAUAAGUCAGGUGUGAAAUCCCCAAGCUUAACUUGGGAAUUGCGUUUGAUACUGUCUGACUUGAGUUUGGUAGAGGGAGGUGAAAUUCCAGGUGUAGCGGUGAAAUGCGUAGAGAUCUGGAGGAACACCAGUGGCGAAGGCGGCCUCCUGGACUGAAACUGACACUGAGGUACGAAAGCGUGGGGAGCAAACAGG
Molecule: ribosomal RNA, 253 nt
Filed under: uncultured bacterium
Lineage: Bacteria
Description: partial 16S ribosomal RNA
Rfam family: Bacterial small subunit ribosomal RNA
Source: RNAcentral